Molecule: transfer RNA, 85 nt
Filed under: Felis catus (domestic cat)
Lineage: Eukaryota; Metazoa; Chordata; Mammalia; Carnivora; Felidae
Also listed under: 1 other name
Rfam family: tRNA
About the family: Transfer RNA (tRNA) molecules are approximately 80 nucleotides in length.
Source: Rfam by way of RNAcentral
GCCGGGGUGGCUCAGUCGGUUAAGCGUCUGACUUCAGCUCAGGUCAUGACCUCGUGCUUUGUGGGUUCGAGCCCCGCAUUGGGCU